UGGGGAAUUUUGGACAAUGGGCGAAAGCCUGAUCCAGCAAUGCCGCGUGAGUGAAGAAGUCCUUCGGGUUGUAAAGCUCUUUUGUCAGGGAAGAAACGGUGAAAGCUAAUAUCUUUUGCUAAUGACGGUACCUGAAGAAUACGCACCGGCUAACUACGUGCCAGCAGCCGCGGUAAUACGUAGGGUGCAAGCGUUAAUCGGAAUUACCGUGCGUAAAGCGUGCGCAGGCGGUUUUGUAAGUCUGAUGUGAAAUCCCCGGGCUCAACCUGGGAAUUGCAUUGGGGACUGCCAGGCUAGAGUCUGGCAGAGGGGAGUAGAAUUCCAAGUGUAGCAGUGAAAUGAGUAGAUAUAUGGAAGAACACCGAUGGCGAAGGCAGCCCCCUGGGACAAGAUUGACGCUGAUGCACGAAAGCGUGGGGAGCGAACA
This 427-nucleotide ribosomal RNA is filed under the name uncultured bacterium. Its description in RNAcentral is "bacterial SSU rRNA". It matches the Rfam family "Bacterial small subunit ribosomal RNA", at positions 355 to 774 of the family's 1533-position model. The record is from RNAcentral.